GAUGAACGCUGGCGGCGUGCUUAACACAUGCGAGUCGAACGAAGCACCUUGACUUGAUUCUUCGGAUGAAGAUCUUGGUGACUGAGUGGCGGACGGGUGAGUAACGCGUGGGUAACCUGCCUCAUACAGGGGGAUAACAGUUAGAAAUGACUGCUAAUACCGCAUAAGACCACAGCACCGCAUGGUGCAGGGGUAAAAACUCCGGUGGUAUGAGAUGGACCCGCGUCUGAUUAGGUAGUUGGUGGGGUAACGGCCUACCAAGCCGACGAUCAGUAGCCGACCUGAGAGGGUGACCGGCCACAUUGGGACUGAGACACGGCCCAAACUCCUACGGGAGGCAGCAGUAGGGAAUAUUGCACGAUGGGGGAGACCCUGAUGCAGCGACGCCGCGUGAGCGAUGAAGUAUUUCGGUAUGUAAAGCUCUAUCAGCAGGGAAGAAAAUGACGGUACCUGACUAAGAAGCACCGGCUAAAUACGUG
This 479-nucleotide ribosomal RNA is filed under the name uncultured bacterium. Its description in RNAcentral is "partial 16S ribosomal RNA". It matches the Rfam family "Bacterial small subunit ribosomal RNA", at positions 28 to 507 of the family's 1533-position model. The record is from RNAcentral.